GAUAAACGCUAGCGGCAGGCUUAACACAUGCAAGUCGAGGGGCAGCAUAGAUUGUAGCAAUACAAUUGGUGGCGACCGGCGCACGGGUGCGUAACGCGUAUGCAACCAACCCGUCACAGGGGGAUAAUCCGGAGAAAUCUGGUCUAAUACCCCAUAACAUAUGGAUCGGCAUCGGUUCAUGUUGAAAUUUUCGGAGGUGACGGAUGGGAGUGCGUAGCAUUAGCUUGGUGGGGAGGUAACGGCUCACAAAGGCGACGAUGAUUAGGGGGACUGAGAGGUUUUCCCCCCACACUGGUACUGAGACACGGACCAGACUCCUACGGGAGGCAGCAGUGAGGAAUAUUGGUCAAUGGGCGCAAGCCUGAACCAGCCAUGCCGCGUGCAGGAUGACGGCUCUAUGAGUUGUAAACUGCUUUUGUACGAGGGUAAAGUGGGUUACGUGUAACCUUUUGAAAGUAUCGUACGAAUAAGGAUCGGCUAACUCCGUGCCAGCCGCCGCGGUAA
RNAcentral lists this ribosomal RNA (504 nucleotides) under uncultured bacterium. Its description in RNAcentral is "partial 16S ribosomal RNA". It matches the Rfam family "Bacterial small subunit ribosomal RNA", at positions 28 to 523 of the family's 1533-position model. The record is from RNAcentral.